Molecule: non-coding RNA, 26 nt
Filed under: Cricetulus griseus (Chinese hamster)
Lineage: Eukaryota; Metazoa; Chordata; Mammalia; Rodentia; Cricetidae
Source: RNAcentral
UUGAGGACAGCUUUGAAGGGGGGAAG